RNAcentral lists this signal recognition particle RNA (283 nucleotides) under Cavia porcellus (domestic guinea pig). RNAcentral's name for it is "Metazoan signal recognition particle RNA". It matches the Rfam family "Metazoan signal recognition particle RNA". Rfam says of the family: The signal recognition particle (SRP) is a universally conserved ribonucleoprotein. It is involved in the co-translational targeting of proteins to membranes. The eukaryotic SRP consists of a 300-nucleotide 7S RNA and six proteins: SRPs 72, 68, 54, 19, 14, and 9. The record is from Rfam by way of RNAcentral. Lineage: Eukaryota; Metazoa; Chordata; Mammalia; Rodentia; Caviidae.
UCUCGAGUAGCUGGGACUACUCGGGAGGCUGAGGUGGGAGGAUCGCUUGAGUCCAGGAGUUCUGGGCUGCAGUGCGCUAUGCCGAUCGGGUGUCCGCACUAAGUUCGGCAUCAAUAUGGUGACCUCCCGGGAGCGGGGGACCACCAGGUUGCCUAAGGAGGGGUGAACCGGCCCAGGUCGGAAACGGAGCAGGUCAAAACUCCCGUGCUGAUCAGUAGUGGGAUCGCGCCUGUGAAUAGCCACUGCACUCCAGCCUGGGCAAUAUAGUGAGACCCUGUCUCUA